UGUAACGACUCUCAGCAACGGAUAUCUCGACUCUCACAUCGAUGAAAAACAUAGCAAAAUGCCAUACUUUGUGUGAAUUGGAGAAUCCUGUGAACCAUCGAGUCUUUGAAUGCAAGUUAAGCAUGAAGCCUUCUUGUCGAGUGCACAUCUGCUGGAUGUCACGC
Molecule: ribosomal RNA, 164 nt
Filed under: Selenicereus donkelaarii
Lineage: Eukaryota; Viridiplantae; Streptophyta; Magnoliopsida; Caryophyllales; Cactaceae
Description: 5.8S ribosomal RNA
Rfam family: 5.8S ribosomal RNA
About the family: 5.8S ribosomal RNA (5.8S rRNA) is a component of the large subunit of the eukaryotic ribosome.
Source: RNAcentral